This 484-nucleotide ribosomal RNA is filed under the name uncultured bacterium. RNAcentral describes it as "partial 16S ribosomal RNA". It matches the Rfam family "Bacterial small subunit ribosomal RNA", at positions 30 to 507 of the family's 1533-position model. The record is from RNAcentral.
AUUGAACGCUGGCGGCAGGCCUAACACAUGCAAGUCGAGCGGAUGAAGGGAGCUUGCUCCUGGAUUCAGCGGCGGACGGGUGAGUAAUGCCUAGGAAUCUGCCUGGUAGUGGGGGAUAACGUCCGGAAACGGGCGCUAAUACCGCCUACGUCCUGAGGGAGAAAGUGGGGGAUCUUCGGACCUCACGCUAUCAGAUGAGCCUAGGUCGGAUUAGCUAGUUGGUGGGGUAAAGGCCUACCAAGGCGACGAUCCGUAACUGGUCUGAGAGGAUGAUCAGUCACACUGGAACUGAGACACGGUCCAGACUCCUACGGGAGGCAGCAGUGGGGAAUAUUGGACAAUGGGCGAAAGCCUGAUCCAGCCAUGCCGCGUGUGUGAAGAAGGUCUUCGGAUUGUAAAGCACUUUAAGUUGGGAGGAAGGGCAGUAAGUUAAUACCUUGCUGUUUUGACGGUACCAACAGAAUAAGCACCGGCUAACUUCGUG